Molecule: ribosomal RNA, 497 nt
Filed under: uncultured bacterium
Lineage: Bacteria
Description: partial 16S ribosomal RNA
Rfam family: Bacterial small subunit ribosomal RNA
Source: RNAcentral
GAUGAACGCUGGCGGCGUGCCUAAUACAUGCAAGUCGAGCGAACAGACGAGGAGCUUGCUCCUCUGACGUUAGCGGCGGACGGGUGAGUAACGCGUGGAUAACCUACCUAUAAGACUGGGAUAACUUCGGGAAACCGGAGCUAAUACCGGAUAAUAUAUUGAACCGCAUGGUUCAAUAGUGAAAGACGGUUUUGCUGUCACUUAUAGAUGGAUCCGCGCCGCAUUAGCUAGUUGGUAAGGUAACGGCUUACCAAGGCAACGAUGCGUAGCCGACCUGAGAGGGUGAUCGGCCACACGGGAACUUGGACACGGUCCAGACUCCUACGGGAGGCAGCAGUAGGGAAUCUUCCGCAAUGGGCGAAAGCCUGACGGAGCAACGCCGCGUGAGUGAUGAAGGUCUUCGGAUCGUAAAACUCUGUUAUUAGGGAAGAACAAAUGUGUAAGUAACUAUGCACGUCUUGACGGUACCUAAUCAGAAAGCCACGGCUAACUACGUG